Molecule: ribosomal RNA, 932 nt
Filed under: Enterobacter sp.
Lineage: Bacteria; Pseudomonadati; Pseudomonadota; Gammaproteobacteria; Enterobacterales; Enterobacteriaceae
Description: bacterial SSU rRNA
Rfam family: Bacterial small subunit ribosomal RNA
Source: RNAcentral
GUCGACGGUAACAGGAGCAGCUUGCUGCUUCGCUGACGAGUGGCGGACGGGUGAGUAAUGUCUGGGAAACUGCCUGAUGGAGGGGGAUAACUACUGGAAACGGUAGCUAAUACCGCAUAACGUCGCAAGACCAAAGAGGGGGACCUUCGGGCCUCUUGCCAUCGGAUGUGCCCAGAUGGGAUUAGCUAGUAGGUGGGGUAACGGCUCACCUAGGCGACGAUCCCUAGCUGGUCUGAGAGGAUGACCAGCCACACUGGAACUGAGACACGGUCCAGACUCCUACGGGAGGCAGCAGUGGGGAAUAUUGCACAAUGGGCGCAAGCCUGAUGCAGCCAUGCCGCGUGUAUGAAGAAGGCCUUCGGGUUGUAAAGUACUUUCAGCGGGGAGGAAGGCGAUAAGGUUAAUAACCUUGUCGAUUGACGUUACCCGCAGAAGAAGCACCGGCUAACUCCGUGCCAGCAGCCGCGGUAAUACGGAGGGUGCAAGCGUUAAUCGGAAUUACUGGGCGUAAAGCGCACGCAGGCGGUCUGUCAAGUCGGAUGUGAAAUCCCCGGGCUCAACCUGGGAACUGCAUUCGAAACUGGCAGGCUAGAGUCUUGUAGAGGGGGGUAGAAUUCCAGGUGUAGCGGUGAAAUGCGUAGAGAUCUGGAGGAAUACCGGUGGCGAAGGCGGCCCCCUGGACAAAGACUGACGCUCAGGUGCGAAAAGCGUGGGGGAGCAAACAGGGAUUAGAUACCCUGGUAGUCCACGCCCGUAAACGAUGUCGACUUGGAGGUUGUGCCCUUGAGGCGUGGCUUCCGGAGCUAACGCGUUAAGUCGACCGCCUGGGGAGUACGGCCGCAAGGUUAAAACUCCAAAUGAAUUGACGGGGGCCCGCCACAAGCGGUGGAGCAUGGUGGUUUAAUUCGAUGCAACGCGAAGAACCUUUACCU